Molecule: non-coding RNA, 30 nt
Filed under: Mus musculus (house mouse)
Lineage: Eukaryota; Metazoa; Chordata; Mammalia; Rodentia; Muridae
Source: RNAcentral
UAUAAAGGUCUAAGAAAAUGGAGGGUCUCA